GCAAUCAUAGCUAAGAGGUAAAGCAUCCUGCAAGACAGGAAAACGUCGGUUCGAAUCCGGCUGAUUGUC
RNAcentral lists this transfer RNA (69 nucleotides) under Puniceicoccus vermicola. It matches the Rfam family "tRNA". Rfam says of the family: Transfer RNA (tRNA) molecules are approximately 80 nucleotides in length. Their secondary structure includes four short double-helical elements and three loops (D, anti-codon, and T loops). Further hydrogen bonds mediate the characteristic L-shaped molecular structure. tRNAs have two regions of fundamental functional importance: the anti-codon, which is responsible for specific mRNA codon recognition, and the 3' end, to which the tRNAs corresponding amino acid is attached (by aminoacyl-tRNA synthetases). tRNAs cope with the degeneracy of the genetic code in two manners: having more than one tRNA (with a specific anti-codon) for a particular amino acid; and 'wobble' base-pairing, i.e. permitting non-standard base-pairing at the 3rd anti-codon position. Lineage: Bacteria; Pseudomonadati; Verrucomicrobiota; Opitutia; Puniceicoccales; Puniceicoccaceae. The record is from Rfam by way of RNAcentral.